GGCACGCCUAACACAUGCAAGUCGAACGAAGUAGCAAUACUUAGUGGCAGACGGGUGAGUAACAUGUGGGUAUCUACCCUUUGGCCUGGAAUAACACGAGGAAACUUGUGCUAAUACUGGAUAAGUCUUCACGGAGAAAGCUUUAUGCACCAUUGGAUGAGCCCGCACUUGAUUAGUUUGUUGGUAGGGUAAUGGCCUACCAAGACUUUGAUCAAUAGCUGAUUUGAGAGGAUGAUCAGCCACAUUGGGACUGAGACACGGCCCAAACUCCUACGGGAGGCAGCAGUGGGGAAUCUUGCACAAUGGAGGAAACUCUGAUGCAGCGAUGCCGCGUGAGUGAAGAAGGCCCUUGGGUUGUAAAGCUCUUUCGUCGGGGAAGAAAAUGACUGUACCCGAAUAAGAAGGUCCGGCUAACUUCGUGCCAGCAGCCGCGGUAAUACGAAGGGACCUAGCGUAGUUCGGAAUUACUGGGCUUAAAGAGUUCGUAGGUGGUUGAAAAAGUUGGUGGUGAAAUCCCAGAGCUUAACUCUGGAACUGCCAUCAAAACUUUUCAGCUAGAGUUUGAUAGAGGAAAGCAGAAUUUCUAGUGUAGAGGUGAAAUUCGUAGAUAUUAGAAAGAAUACCAAUUGCGAAGGCAGCUUUCUGGAUCAUUACUGACGCUGAGGAACGAAAGCAUGGGUAGCGAAGAGGAUUAGAUACCCUCGUAGUCCAUGCUGUAAACGAUGUGUGUUAGACGUUGGAAAUUUAUUUUCAGUGUCGCAGCGAAAGCGAUAAACACACCGCCUGGGGAGUACG
This 795-nucleotide ribosomal RNA is filed under the name uncultured Pelagibacteraceae bacterium. RNAcentral describes it as "bacterial SSU rRNA". It matches the Rfam family "Bacterial small subunit ribosomal RNA", at positions 41 to 884 of the family's 1533-position model. The record is from RNAcentral. Lineage: Bacteria; Pseudomonadati; Pseudomonadota; Alphaproteobacteria; Candidatus Pelagibacterales; Candidatus Pelagibacteraceae.